RNAcentral lists this ribosomal RNA (253 nucleotides) under uncultured bacterium. RNAcentral describes it as "partial 16S ribosomal RNA". It matches the Rfam family "Bacterial small subunit ribosomal RNA", at positions 524 to 776 of the family's 1533-position model. The record is from RNAcentral.
UACAGAGGGUGCGAGCGUUAAUCGGAAUUACUGGGCGUAAAGCGCGCGUAGGCGGCUUUGCAAGUCGGGUGUGAAAUCCCCAAGCUUAACUUGGGAACUGCAUUCGAGACUGCAUUGCUAGAGUAUGGGAGAGGGAAGUGGAAUUUCCGGUGUAGCGGUGAAAUGCGUAGAUAUCGGAAGGAACAUCAGUGGCGAAAGCGGCUUCCUGGACCAGUACCGACGUUCAGGCACGAAAGCGUGGGGAGCAAACAGG